This 37-nucleotide small RNA is filed under the name Acididesulfobacillus acetoxydans. RNAcentral's name for it is "CRISPR spacer". Lineage: Bacteria; Bacillati; Bacillota; Clostridia; Eubacteriales; Peptococcaceae. The record is from RNAcentral.
CAAUAUCUUUUAAAACCUGUUCCGGCAAAUUUUUUGU